ACUCCUACGGGAGGCAGCAGUGGGGAAUAUUGCACAAUGGGCGAAAGCCUGAUGCAGCGACGCCGCGUGUGGAUGAAGGCCUUCGGGUUGUAAACCCCUUUCAGUAGGGAAGAAGCGAAAGUGACGGUACCUGCAGAAGAAGCGCCGGCUAACUACGUGCCAGCAGCCGCGGUAAUACGUAGGGCGCAAGCGUUGUCCGGAAUUAUUGGGCGUAAAGAGCUCGUAGGCGGUUUGUCGCGUCUGCCGUGAAAACCCAACGCUUAACGUUGGGCUUGCGGUGGGUACGGGCAGGCUAGAGUGCGGUAGGGGUGACUGGAAUUCCUGGUGUAGCGGUGGAAUGCGCAGAUAUCAGGAGGAACACCGAUGGCGAAGGCAGGUCACUGGGCCGCAACUGACGCUGAGGAGCGAAAGCAUGGGGAGCGAACAGGAUUAGAUACCCUGGUAGGCGUAG
Molecule: ribosomal RNA, 451 nt
Filed under: uncultured bacterium
Lineage: Bacteria
Description: bacterial SSU rRNA
Rfam family: Bacterial small subunit ribosomal RNA
Source: RNAcentral